UACGUUGGUCCCGAGCGUUGUCCGGAUUUAUUGGGCGUAAAGCGAGCGCAGGUGGUUUAUUAAGUCUGUUGUAAAAGGCAGUGGCUCAACCAUUGUAUGCAUUGGAAACUGGUAGACUUGAGUGCAGGAGAGGAGAGUGGAAUUCCAUGUGUAGCGGUGAAAUGCGUAGAUAUAUGGAGGAACACCGGUGGCGAAAGCGGCUCUCUGGCCUGUAACUGACACUGAGGCUCGAAAGCGUGGGGAGCAAACAGG
This 252-nucleotide ribosomal RNA is filed under the name uncultured bacterium. RNAcentral describes it as "partial 16S ribosomal RNA". It matches the Rfam family "Bacterial small subunit ribosomal RNA", at positions 524 to 776 of the family's 1533-position model. The record is from RNAcentral.